GACGAACGCUGGCGGCGUGCUUAACACAUGCAAGUCGAGCGGAGCGGCGAACGGGUGAGUAACGCGUGAGUAACUGCCCCCCUCUCUGGGAUAACAGUUGGAAACGGCUGCUAAUACCGGAUAGUGGGGGAUGACUCGCGUCCUAUCAGCUUGGUGGUGGGGUAGUGGCCUACCAAGGCGACGACGGGUAGCCGGCCUGAGAGGGGGACCGGCCAGAGUGGGCUGAGCUACGGCCCAAACUCCUACGGGAGGCAGCAGUGGGGAAUAUUGCACAAUGGGGGAAACUCGGAAGCAGCAACGCCGCGGGCGGGGUGAGGGCCUUAGGAUUGUAAACCGCUUUCAGCCAUGACGCGGGAGUGGCAGAAGAAGCACCGGCUAAUUACGUGGCAGCAGCCGCGGUAAUUC
Molecule: ribosomal RNA, 405 nt
Filed under: uncultured bacterium
Lineage: Bacteria
Description: partial 16S ribosomal RNA
Rfam family: Bacterial small subunit ribosomal RNA
Source: RNAcentral